This 372-nucleotide ribosomal RNA is filed under the name uncultured bacterium. Its description in RNAcentral is "bacterial SSU rRNA". It matches the Rfam family "Bacterial small subunit ribosomal RNA", at positions 29 to 430 of the family's 1533-position model. The record is from RNAcentral.
AACGAACGCUGGCGGCAGGCCUAACACAUGCAAGUCGAGCGCCGUAGCAAUACGGAGCGGCGGACGGGUGAAUAACACGUGGGAAUAUGCCCUUCGGUACGGAAUAACGCAGGGAAACUUGCGCUAAUACCGUAUACGCCCUCAGGGGGAAAGAUUUAUCGCCGAAGGAUUAGCCCGCGUCCGAUUAGCUAGUUGGUGAGGUAACGGCCCACCAAGGCGACGAUCGGUAGCUGGUUAAGAGAACGAUCAGCCACACUGGGACUGAGACACGGCCCAGACUCCUACGGGAGGCAGCAGUGGGGAAUCUUGGACAAUGGGCGCAAGCCUGAUCCAGCCAUGCCGCGUGAGUGAUGAAGGCCUUCGGUUGUAAAC